Syngnathoides biaculeatus (alligator pipefish) is the source of this 369-nucleotide long non-coding RNA. RefSeq lists it as uncharacterized. Lineage: Eukaryota; Metazoa; Chordata; Actinopteri; Syngnathiformes; Syngnathidae. The record is from RefSeq and is a predicted model, not a curated record. The transcript has 3 exons.
CACAAUGCUUACUUUUGAUGUCGCGUGUCUCCUUUUAGCGUGAAGUCAGUAAAACUGCGAACUCUUUUGGACAAGAGGACACCCGAUCUCGCAUCUCGCCACGAACUCUGCGCGGAGCGGUGCGGAGGAAUUCUGGUUUCGGUGUGACGUGGCACCGGGAUUGGACCGCCAGAGAUGUCACGGGACGAAGAAAGCGGAACCGGAUUGGCUGGCUGUCGGUUCGGAAAUCCUAAGGAUGUGUUUGCGCACAAACUCCGGAGCCUUGAACUUCUUGCCGCUCAGAGGGCACAGCCACUUGUCUUUGCUGAGCUCCUGAGUGUUGGCCGCCAGGAACUUCUCCACCUGCGAAAGGAACGCCGUCGACGCUGA